AUUUUUGGAUAAUCGCAUAGGAGUACUGCUCUUAUGAGGAAAGUCCAUGCUAGCACCGGCUGUGACUGCCGGUAGUGUUUGUGCUGGGCGAAAAAAUAAGCCCAGGGACGUGCUGAAGUGCGUUACGGCGGAUAAAACGGCUAAGUCUUUCUUUAGGAUAGGCCGGACUAAUCCUGAAAGUGCCACAGUGACGAAGUUUUACGGAAACGUAAAAAGUGGAACGAGGUAAACCCCUCAAGCUAGCAACCCAAACUUUGGUAGGGGCACGGGAUAGGCGGAAACCGAACGCUCUAUCCUGACUGGAAACAGUAGACAGAUGAUUAUCGAAGAAAGCAGGGCCUAGCUGCUUUCGGAACAAAACAUGGCUUAUAGAA
RNAcentral lists this RNase P RNA (374 nucleotides) under Streptococcus chenjunshii. RNAcentral's name for it is "RNase P RNA component class B". It matches the Rfam family "Bacterial RNase P class B". Rfam says of the family: Ribonuclease P (RNase P) is a ubiquitous endoribonuclease, found in archaea, bacteria and eukarya as well as chloroplasts and mitochondria. Its best characterised activity is the generation of mature 5'-ends of tRNAs by cleaving the 5'-leader elements of precursor-tRNAs. Cellular RNase Ps are ribonucleoproteins. Lineage: Bacteria; Bacillati; Bacillota; Bacilli; Lactobacillales; Streptococcaceae. The record is from RNAcentral.